AUUUAGCUAUGCAUCUACGAGUAAGACCUAGACAAAACGCAUGAAGAGGACCAUAAUUGGUCCUAGAACGGCCUGAGGUACAGGGGUUUAAGUCGGUAGAUUCGAGGACUUCUUCCCCGGGAAUCCGACACUACCCAGUCGUACGGACGGCUGGGUGUCUUUUGAAGAUUUCCCUUCUUCAACGAAA
Non-coding RNA from Agrilus planipennis (emerald ash borer), 187 nucleotides. Lineage: Eukaryota; Metazoa; Arthropoda; Insecta; Coleoptera; Buprestidae. The record is from Rfam.